Molecule: ribosomal RNA, 440 nt
Filed under: uncultured bacterium
Lineage: Bacteria
Description: partial 16S ribosomal RNA
Rfam family: Bacterial small subunit ribosomal RNA
Source: RNAcentral
CCUACGGGAGGCAGCAGUGGGGAAUAUUGGACAAUGGGGGGAACCCUGAUCCAGCGACGCCGCGUGAGUGAAGAAGUAUUUCGGUAUGUAAAGCUCUAUCAGCAGGGAAGAAAAUGACGGUACCUGACUAAGAAGCACCGGCUAACUACGUGCCAGCAGCCGCGGUAAUACGGAGGGGGCAAGCGUGAUCCGGAUUUACUGGGGGUAAAGGGAGCGUAGUCGGUGCAGCAAGUCUGCUGUGAAAGGUCGGGGCCCAACCCCGGGACUGCAGUGGAAACUGCUGAACUGGAGUACGGGAGAGGUAAGCGGAAUGCCUGGUGUAGCGGUGAAAUGCGUAGAUAUUAGGAGGAACUCCGAUGGCGAAGGCGGCUUGCUGGACUGAAACUGACGUUGAGGCUCGAAAGCGUGGGGAGCAAACAGGAUUAGAUACCCGAGUAGUC